UUCAAUCUUUUUGCUAACCUUUGUUCUGUAUAUUAACCUUUCUUGCAGAUUAUUAGAAGGCAUGCGUGUUAUGGACAAUGAAAUAUGCUACCCAGCCAAAGAAUAUCUUACCAUCCACAAAUUGUUUGCAACUCGUGCUGACCUUCAUCGUACCGUCUACACCCAUGCAAAAGUGAAGGCCGUUGAGCUCAUGCUUGUAGAUGCGCUUCUUAAGGCCAAUGAUUACCUACAAAUAUCUUCGUGUUCUUUGGACCCCGCUGAAUUUUGGAAGCUGGAUGAUACACUACUAAAAACCAUUGAAAUAGCUGAUAGCAAGAAGUUGCAAGAAUCAAGAGAUAUUAUCCGACGUAUUCGUCGAAGAGACUUAUACCAGUUCUGCAAUGAGUAUGCUGUUCCGAAGGAUAAAAUCGAGCAUUUUAAGGACAUCGCUCCGCAAGACAUAAUAUGCUGCCAGGCAGCCGGCGGAGUACAACUGAAGGAAGAGGAUGUCGCCGUUAGCAAUGUUAAGAUCGAUUUGACGCGUGGAAGAGAUAACCCUAUUGAGAGCAUCAAUUUCUUCAAGGAUUACGACAGCGACAAGAAGUUCUCCAUCUCAGAUGAUCGCAUCAGCUGCCUUCUUCCUACAUGUUACCAGGACAGAAUUGUGAGGGUGUAUGCCAAGAAGCCUGAAUUGGUUGAGGCCAUAUCAGAAGCUUUUGAGAAUCUACAGCUGAAAAUGUACGGCGUGAAAAAGCAGGUACACGAGACGCCAGAAAAGAAGAAACGCCGGAGGUGAGCUGUAUAGAGACUGCAUGUGUAUUCAUCUCUACGUAUACUCACCCUACAUAGCAAUAAUGGUUUUUGUCAAGUGCUGGCUUUUUGAACAGGAGUGUCGUGCAACAGCUCGAAAUGGAAGCUGUUAAUUCCAUCGUCUGCCAUUCAGUUUGGCGUCUAUAGAUAAUCCAGAGAGCAUUGGCUGUA
RNA transcript from Ananas comosus (pineapple), 960 nucleotides. It is a transcript of the gene named deoxynucleoside triphosphate triphosphohydrolase SAMHD1 homolog, with no coding region annotated. Lineage: Eukaryota; Viridiplantae; Streptophyta; Magnoliopsida; Poales; Bromeliaceae. The transcript is spliced from 11 exons. The record is from RefSeq and is a predicted model, not a curated record.